AUGUCCUCUUCGUCAUCUUUCCCCGGCUCCCGCUUCCCCUUCGCCGCCGGUGGCGCCGGUGCUGGAGCCUCCGGUGGAGGCGGAGGCGGCGGCAGUGGGAGCAGCGUGCGGCCCUGGGGGUCGAGCGGAGGGACGUCGGUCUCGUCGUCGGGGAAGCGGAUACAGAAGGAGCUGCUGGACCUCAACGCUUCCGACUGCUCCGCCGGUCCCAAGGGCGACAACCUCUACCACUGGCUCUCCACCAUCAUUGGACCCCAAGGGUCACCAUAUGAAGGAGGGAUAUUUUUCCUUGAUGUCGUUUUCCCACUUGAUUAUCCUUUCAAACCUCCUAUGGUGACUUUCAAAACAAGGAUUUACCACUGCAACGUUGAUUCCACUGGGGCAGUGAGUUUGGAAAUUUUGAAGGAUGGCUGGAGUCCAGCUUUAACUAUUUCAAAGGUGCUACUGGCGAUCAAAGCCAUCAUCACAAAUCCGGAUCCAUACAACCCACUUGUGGAGAGCAUUGCACGUCUGUACCUGACUGAUAGAGCUAAGCAUGAUGAAAUAGCUGCUGAAUGGACAUUGAGGUUUGCAAGAUAG
RNAcentral lists this ribosomal RNA (579 nucleotides) under Triticum aestivum (bread wheat). RNAcentral's name for it is "partial small subunit ribosomal RNA". Lineage: Eukaryota; Viridiplantae; Streptophyta; Magnoliopsida; Poales; Poaceae. The record is from RNAcentral.